CUACGGGUGGCAGCAGUGGGGAAUAUUGGACAAUGGGCGAAAGCCUGAUCCAGCCAUGCCGCGUGUGUGAAGAAGGCCUUCGGGUUGUAAAGCACUUUCAGUGGGGAAGAAAGCCUUGGGGCUAAUACCCUCGAGGAAGGACAUCACCCACAGAAGAAGCACCGGCUAACUCCGUGCCAGCAGCCGCGGUAAUACGGAGGGUGCGAGCGUUAAUCGGAAUUACUGGGCGUAAAGCGCGCGUAGGCGGUCUGAUAAGCCGGUUGUGAAAGCCCCGGGCUCAACCUGGGAACGGCAUCCGGAACUGUCAGGCUAGAGUGCAGGAGAGGAAGGUAGAAUUCCCGGUGUAGCGGUGAAUGCGUAGAGAUCGGGAGGAAUACCAGUGGCGAAGGCGGCCUUCUGGACUGACACUGACGCUGAGGUGCGAAAGCGUGGGUAGCAAACAGGAUUAGAUACCCCAGUAGUC
RNAcentral lists this ribosomal RNA (463 nucleotides) under Vreelandella stevensii. RNAcentral describes it as "partial 16S ribosomal RNA". It matches the Rfam family "Bacterial small subunit ribosomal RNA", at positions 339 to 795 of the family's 1533-position model. Lineage: Bacteria; Pseudomonadati; Pseudomonadota; Gammaproteobacteria; Oceanospirillales; Halomonadaceae. The record is from RNAcentral.